This 251-nucleotide unclassified non-coding RNA is filed under the name Hevea brasiliensis (rubber tree). The record is from RNAcentral. Lineage: Eukaryota; Viridiplantae; Streptophyta; Magnoliopsida; Malpighiales; Euphorbiaceae.
AAAUAGAUUAAGAGCUUCUUGAGGUAGAUCACUCUCCGCAUCAUCAGAUAUCAUUGCAAACCAACGGACCAAGUCCUUCUCGUCCAUAUGGUUAAAAAAAAAUGAGCAUCUUCAACAUUACCUACUCUUGAAUAGCCAGAGAUAUGGCGCGUGAAACAACCAAGUUCAUAGAUGACAUCUUAGUAGAUGAUUCUUUAUCCAUAUCCAUGCAACCACAAAUUGCAUAAAUAGACUGCUUUCCAUAGCUUAAA